GGGGAAUUUUCCGCAAUGGGCGCAAGCCUGACGACGCAACGCCGCGUGGAGGACGAAGAUCUUCGGGUCGUAAACUCCUGUCGAGCGGGAAGAACAGCGUGCGGGUCAAUACCCCGCACGCCUGACGGUACCGCUAGAGGAAGCCCCGGCUAACUCCGUGCCAGCAGCCGCGGUAAUACGGGGGGGGCAAGCGUUGUUCGGAUUUACUGGGCGUAAAGGGCUCGUAGGCGGCCAGCUAAGUCGGUUGUGAAAUCCCCCGGCUCAACCGGGGAACUGCGACCGAUACUGGUUGGCUCGAAGCCGGGAGAGGGAUGCGGAAUUCCAGGUGUAGCGGUGAAAUGCGUAGAUAUCUGGAGGAACACCCGUGGCGAAGGCGGCAUCCUGGACCGGUCUUGACGCUGAGGAGCGAAAGCCAGGGUAGCAAACGGGAUUAGAUACCCCGGUAGUCCUGGCCCUAAACGAUGAAUGCUUGGUGUGGCGGGUAUCGAUCCCUGCCGUGCCGGAGCUAACGCAUUAAGCAUUCCCGCCUGGGGAGUACGGUCGCAAGGUUGAAACUCAAGGAAUUGACGGGGGCCCGUACAAGCGGUGGAGCAUGUGGUUCAUUUCGACCCAACGCGAAGCACCUUACCCAGGUUUGAAGUGCGAGUGACCAUCGGUGAAAGCCGACUUCCUUCGGGACACUCGCAGAGGUGUUGCAUGGCUGUCGUCAGCUCGUGUCGUGAGAUGUUGGGUUAAGUCCCGCAACGAGCGCAACCCUUGUCUGCUGUUGCCAUCAGUUCGGCUGGGCACUCUGCGGAGACUGCCGGUGACAAACCGGAGGAAGGUGGGGAUGACGUCAAGUCAGCAUGACCUUUAUGUCUGGGGCUACACACGUGCUACAAUGGCCGGUACAAAGCGUCGCGAUCCCGCGAGGGUGAGCUAAACGCACAAAGCCGGUCUCAGUUCGGAUUGCAGGCUGCAACUCGCCUGCAUGAAGCUGGAAUCGCUAGUAAUCGCGGAUCAGCACGCCGCGGUGAAUACGUUCCCGGGCCUUGUACACACCGCCCGU
This 1048-nucleotide ribosomal RNA is filed under the name uncultured marine bacterium. RNAcentral's name for it is "bacterial SSU rRNA". It matches the Rfam family "Bacterial small subunit ribosomal RNA", at positions 356 to 1397 of the family's 1533-position model. The record is from RNAcentral.